Long non-coding RNA from Triticum dicoccoides, 1453 nucleotides. RefSeq lists it as uncharacterized. Lineage: Eukaryota; Viridiplantae; Streptophyta; Magnoliopsida; Poales; Poaceae. The record is from RefSeq and is a predicted model, not a curated record. The transcript is spliced from 4 exons.
CGACCCCAACCGCCAAACGAACCCUAGCCCCCUUUCUUCGUCCCCUCAAUCCCUAUAGCCGCUGCACCCCUCCCUCUCCCUUCUGUGCGUGCGCUCGACCAAGGACGUCGUCGUCGCCCUCGGCUGCUCCUCCACGCCGGGGUCUUCCUCCUCUUUCUCCUCGCCUUCCCAUCGGUUGCGCUCAGGUCGUCACCGUCGACGAAUAGGAUAGUGCGGGCCGCUUCCUCCUUUUCCUCCGGCCGGAUCUAUGGCGUGCGACCGCGGAGGCGAGCCUCUCCGGUGGCAGAGGCAAAGGGCGACCACAUGGAUCGAUCCCUGCAGGAGAUAGAAGAUGGGAGAGAGGGAAAGAAGGAAGGAGAGGAGGAAGACCCAGUGGCGGGCGGGAGAGGGUCACCAGCCGGCGCCGGCGAGGUCAAGUGCGACCUGAUGGUUGGCGGCGGCUCGAUCCACUCCUGGAUCUUUAUUGUUCCACUUCCCCACUACCUAACACCGAGCAAGAGGGCUGCCCGAGGAAGAGGGUGAGGACGCAGGGAUUGAAGAGGGUGUUCCCGCAUUCAUCGUCUGGCCAAGUGCAAGGACGAGGACGAGGACGCGGGGUGGAGCAUGUCAUCCCUCUGGUUAUCGCCUUCCUUUCUGCUGCUGGGCUGAGAUGAGGGUUUUCUCCAGCGAUUGUGGUGGCCUGAGUCAGAGAUCGACAGCCAGAUGCUUGUGGCUACCACACAAAACGUGCUCUCUUACUGACCUCGAGGUCCGGCCGCAAUUCCUCUUGUUUUUGCUCCAAGGUAUAGAAGAAGGACCUUUGCUUAAUGGUUGAUUUUCUUCUGCUCACGGCAGCUUGCUCGAGGCAAACAUGCAAGCCUGACGUGCACUGAUGGCGCUGCCGGCAGUAUCAAGGAUGGAAACAGCAAGACACUCUUUUAGGUCAGAGAAACUGGCGGUGCCAAUGAUAACGCCUGAACCUUCGUGACUGCAGCAGCCACCAUCAUGUUGUAGCUCAGCCAGACCACGACCAUCGAUAGGUGACCAUCUUCAUUGAGGUAAAAGGAAAAGAGAACAUUGGAGGAAAAGGCAAUAUGGCAGAUUCUCUAAGCUUUCUCAAAUGUUUGAAGGAAAAGAUAGUUACAAUUAUUUUUCUCUCGCCUUAUUACAUCUUGAUGUUAAUAGGCGUUGGAAGGUACUAUGGACCACAUUCAAGGUUUACCGUAUUUGCACAAUCCUAUUACAGUUUAUUCUGAUGAAAGAAUUGACCAGUUCUUCCUUGAGUAAAUUAGUAUUGCUGAUGCUACUCCUUUGUGCAUUGUUACAUAGAGUUAUAGUUGUGAAGGUGUGUACGAAUCAACAUAUAAUUCCCACCAUCCUAUUACAGUUUGUUUUGAUGACAAAUUGUGCAGCUCUUACUUGAGUAAAUUGUGCAGAUCUUCCUUGAGUAAAUUAGUAUUGUGGUUACUAAUCC